This is a long non-coding RNA of Asparagus officinalis (garden asparagus), 1140 nucleotides long. RefSeq lists it as uncharacterized. NCBI's taxonomy places the organism in Eukaryota, Viridiplantae, Streptophyta, Magnoliopsida, Asparagales, Asparagaceae. The transcript is spliced from 4 exons. The record is from RefSeq and is a predicted model, not a curated record.
UCAGUCGAUGAAUUCUUCCUUGUGAGAAACAAUUUCCUUUUGAAUUUUACUCAAUUAUUUGACUUGAAGCAGUUGAACUACAUGAACAUAUGAGCAAGAGACUUCCUAGACCAUACUCUUCAACAUGUUCUUCUAAGUUAUCCAUGAGCAUGUGGACUUAACUUUUAUCUAGCCCAAGUAUUGUUCAAAAUUCAAGAAACUUGAUGGAAACUUAAAAAAGCAUAAACUAAAGAAAAUUUACGUUCAUCUUAGGGUCUUUGUUGUUAGUCCCUAUUACGCCCAAGAGCUCGUCUCAGGAGAAGACAAAGGUAGUUAAACUGCACGAUAUUAUACGAGUGAUUGGCAUCAUUGAAAUUAUGAAUAGGAUGGAUGUUCAGGAGUGGAAUCCAAAAGAUAAAUAUAUUGAUGCCAACUAUGACGAAAAAACUAGGGAAGAGCUCUAAAUAAAGAAGCAUUGCAAGCAGAAGUUGGAUCGCUUGUAGAUAGGAACAUGCCUAUCAUAGUUUUCAUUGGGAGACUGGAAGAGCAAAAGGGGAACUAGAAAGAAGAAGAUGGAGAAGCAACUUGAGGAAUUAGAAGAGAAAUAUCCAACAAAGACCCGAGCAGUUGAUAAGUCCAAUGUCCUGCUGGCCUCUGUGAUGAUAGCGGAUGCUGAUUAUAUUGUCAUCCAAGCAAAUUUGAACCAUGUGGCAUGAUUCAUUUGUAAGGUAAGUGUUAUUGAAAGGAAUUAUUAUGUUGUUAGUAUGGAGAUGAUGUCAUGGGAGCACUAGUCGUAGGAAUGGAGCUGCAACCAAUGACGAGGAUGAUACGAAUGAGGAAGAAGAUCUCAAUUAGUGAGUUUUAUCAUUUCGUAUCUUGGACAUGUAUGGGAGAUGUGCACUUUUUCAUCUCGAUUAUUUGUAGUGGUACCUUAUAUAUCUUACACUUUUUUUUAGGAUUGUGACGUGUUUGUUGGAUUUUAUAGUAUUCUAUAUCCUAGACUUGUUUGUGGAUACUAUAAACAUGUUCCUCUUAGGGAAAUAUGGAUUAUUUUAUUUGAUUAGAUUGUGAAAUUAGAAUUUUUUUUAUAUUGUGUAUCUUGGAUGUAUGAGAUCUUUUGUGUGUGGAUUAUGGAUGCACUUGAGUGAGGUAUAUGUAGAC